GGAUGCAAAGGUGAUCUGGCUAAGACAUCUAUCACCCCACUGAUCGCCUGGGUUGAUUUGGCUGAGCUGGCUGGCUAGGCAGGUGUCCUCUUCCUCCCUCACCACUCCAUGUGCGUUCCCCCUGAAGCUGUGCACUCGGUCGAAGAGGACGACCACCCCCAAUAGAGGGGGACUGUUUCCUCGGUCAGGGGUAUACAAGUGGCUGCUCUAGAACCUCCAAAUCAUACAUUAUAAAGCUAAUACAAAAAGUAUGCCUUU
Unclassified non-coding RNA from Fukomys damarensis (Damara mole-rat), 258 nucleotides. Its record names the gene 7SK. It matches the Rfam family "7SK RNA". From Rfam's summary of the family: 7SK was discovered as an abundant small nuclear RNA in the mid-70s but a possible function has only recently been suggested. Two independent studies have found that 7SK RNA binds the CDK9/cyclin T complex (known as elongation factor P-TEFb). Lineage: Eukaryota; Metazoa; Chordata; Mammalia; Rodentia; Bathyergidae. The record is from Ensembl.